Molecule: ribosomal RNA, 403 nt
Filed under: bacterium
Lineage: Bacteria
Also listed under: 1 other name
Description: partial 16S ribosomal RNA
Rfam family: Bacterial small subunit ribosomal RNA
Source: RNAcentral
UGGGGAAUAUUGCACAAUGGAGGGAACUCUGAUGCAGCGACGCCGCGUGAACGAAGAAGGCUUUCGAGUCGUAAAGUUCUUUUAUAUGGGAAGAUAAUGACGGUACCAUAAGAAAAAGCCCCGGCUAACUACGUGCCAGCAGCCGCGGUAAUACGUAGGGGGCUAGCGUUGUCCGGAAUCACUGGGCGUAAAGGGUUCGCAGGCGGAAAUGCAAGUCAGGUGUAAAAGGCAGUAGCUUAACUACUGUAAGCAUUUGAAACUGCAUAUCUUGAGAAGAGUAGAGGUAAGUGGAAUUUUUAGUGUAGCGGUGAAAUGCGUAGAUAUUAAAAAGAAUACCGGUGGCGUAGGCGACUUACUGGGCUCAUUCUGACGCUGAGGAACGAAAGCGUGGGUAGCAAACAGG